This 104-nucleotide small nuclear RNA is filed under the name Balaenoptera musculus (blue whale). The record is from RNAcentral. Lineage: Eukaryota; Metazoa; Chordata; Mammalia; Artiodactyla; Balaenopteridae.
GUGCUCGCUUCGGCAGCACAUAUACUAAAACUGGAACGAUACAGAGAUUAUCAUGGCGCCUGCGCGAGGAUGACACGCAAAUUCGUGAAGCGUUACAUAUUUUU